This 430-nucleotide ribosomal RNA is filed under the name uncultured bacterium. Its description in RNAcentral is "bacterial SSU rRNA". It matches the Rfam family "Bacterial small subunit ribosomal RNA", at positions 355 to 775 of the family's 1533-position model. The record is from RNAcentral.
UCGAGAAUAGUCUACAAUGGUCGGAAGACUGAUAGUGCGACGCCGCGUGAACGAUGAAUCCCUUCGGGGUGUAAAGUUCUUUUAUAUGUGAGCAGUGCUUCUUAUAUUAACAGUAUGGGGAGAGAGAUAUUAGCAUAUGAAUAAGCAACGGCUAACUCCGUGCCAGCAGCCGCGGUAACACGGGGGUUGCGAGCGUUGUCCGGAAUUACUAGGCGUAAAGGGCAGGCAGGCGGAUCCAUAAGUUUAUCGUUUAAGGCGUCGGCUUAACCGGCGUAGGGCGGUAGAUACUGUGGAUCUGGAAUGCGGUUGGGGAAGACAGAAUUCCUGGUGUAGCGGUGGAAUGCGCAGAGAUCAGGAGGAAUACCGAAGGCGAAGGCAGUCUUCCAAGCCGUUAUUGACGCUCAACUGCGAAGGUGUGGGUAUCAAACAG